RNAcentral lists this ribosomal RNA (323 nucleotides) under uncultured Chloroflexota bacterium. RNAcentral's name for it is "bacterial SSU rRNA". It matches the Rfam family "Bacterial small subunit ribosomal RNA", at positions 28 to 351 of the family's 1533-position model. Lineage: Bacteria; Bacillati; Chloroflexota. The record is from RNAcentral.
GAUGAACGCUGGCGGCGUGCCUAAUACAUGCAAGUCGAACGAGAAGCUCGUUUUCGGAUGAGCGGACAGUGGCGUCCGGGUGAGUAACCCGUAGCUGACCUGCCCUUCGCCGGGGGAUAACACCGAGAAAUCGGUGCUAAUACCGCGUACGCUCGUGGGGAUUAGAAGCCCAUGAGGAAAACUGAGGUGGCGAAGGAGGGGGCUGCGUUCCAUCAGCUGGCUGGUGAGGUAAUGGCUCACCAGGGCAACGACGGAUAGGGGACCUGAGAGGGUGACCCCCCACACUGGUACUGACACACGGACCAGACUCCUACGGGUGGCAG